This is a long non-coding RNA of Passer domesticus (house sparrow), 412 nucleotides long. RefSeq lists it as uncharacterized. NCBI's taxonomy places the organism in Eukaryota, Metazoa, Chordata, Aves, Passeriformes, Passeridae. The transcript has 4 exons. The record is from RefSeq and is a predicted model, not a curated record.
CCCAACCCAAUUCAACCAAGCCCAAUCCAAUCCUAUCCCAGCCCAAUCCAAUCCUAUCCCAGCCCAUCCCAGCCCAGCCCUGGCACUCUGGGGUCAGGUUUAAACCCAUUUCCAGUUCCUGCCCUGUUUUUCUGGGUCUGCCAGAGUCUCUGAGCUCCUGCUGGAGGUGCUGCAUGCCUGGCUGCAGUGCAGGUAUAAAGGGCACUGAUGGAGCUGCAUAAUCAAGAUCUAGGAAGACAAGAUCAGGAUCACAGCCUUGAAUAAUUCUCCCCAGCAAUGUCACAGAGACGUGGUUUGAUUUUGUUCUGAAGUCCUGUGCAGGAAGCAGAGUAUUCUCAGAAGGGAUCUCCUCAUCCAGCUGCUCUUGUAGCUUUAUUGAUCCUGUCUGUCCUUCAGCUAGCCUGGACAUUAU